RNAcentral lists this ribosomal RNA (464 nucleotides) under Vreelandella stevensii. RNAcentral describes it as "partial 16S ribosomal RNA". It matches the Rfam family "Bacterial small subunit ribosomal RNA", at positions 339 to 795 of the family's 1533-position model. The record is from RNAcentral. Lineage: Bacteria; Pseudomonadati; Pseudomonadota; Gammaproteobacteria; Oceanospirillales; Halomonadaceae.
CUACGGGCGGCUGCAGUGGGGAAUAUUGGACAAUGGGCGAAAGCCUGAUCCAGCCAUGCCGCGUGUGUGAAGAAGGCCUUCGGGUUGUAAAGCACUUUCAGUGGGGAAGAAAGCCUUGGGGCUAAUACCCUCGAGGAAGGACAUCACCCACAGAAGAAGCACCGGCUAACUCCGUGCCAGCAGCCGCGGUAAUACGGAGGGUGCGAGCGUUAAUCGGAAUUACUGGGCGUAAAGCGCGCGUAGGCGGUCUGAUAAGCCGGUUGUGAAAGCCCCGGGCUCAACCUGGGAACGGCGUCCGGAACUGUCAGGCUAGAGUGCAGGAGAGGAAGGUAGAAUUCCCGGUGUAGCGGUGAAAUGCGUAGAGAUCGGGAGGAAUACCAGUGGCGAAGGCGGCCUUCUGGACUGACACUGACGCUGAGGUGCGAAAGCGUGGGUAGCAAACAGGAUUAGAUACCCGAGUAGUC